Molecule: ribosomal RNA, 430 nt
Filed under: bacterium
Lineage: Bacteria
Description: partial 16S ribosomal RNA
Rfam family: Bacterial small subunit ribosomal RNA
Source: RNAcentral
UAGGGAAUCUUCCACAAUGGACGCAAGUCUGAUGGAGCAACGCCGCGUGAGUGAAGAAGGUUUUCGGAUCGUAAAGCUCUGUUGUUGGUGAAGAAGGAUAGAGGCAGUAACUGGUCUUUAUUUGACGGUAAUCAACCAGAAAGUCACGGCUAACUACGUGCCAGCAGCCGCGGUAAUACGUAGGUGGCAAGCGUUGUCCGGAUUUAUUGGGCGUAAAGCGAGCGCAGGCGGAAUGAUAAGUCUGAUGUGAAAGCCCACGGCUCAACCGUGGAACUGCAGCGGAAACUGUCAUUCUUGAGUGCAGAAGAGGAGAGUGGAAUUCCAUGUGUAGCGGUGGAAUGCGUAGAUAUAUGGAAGAGCACCAGUAGCGAAGGCGGCUCUCUGGUCUGCGACUGACGCUGAGGCUCGAAAGCAUGGGUAGCGAACAGGA